RNAcentral lists this ribosomal RNA (818 nucleotides) under actinobacterium 00YJN. Its description in RNAcentral is "bacterial SSU rRNA". It matches the Rfam family "Bacterial small subunit ribosomal RNA", at positions 140 to 961 of the family's 1533-position model. Lineage: Bacteria; Bacillati; Actinomycetota; Actinomycetes. The record is from RNAcentral.
GGGACGGCCCGGGAAACUGGGUCUAAUACCGGAUAUGACCUUCCUCUGCAUGGGGGUUGGUGGAAAGCUCCGGCGGUGCAGGAUGAUCCCGCGGCCUAUCAGCUUGUUGGUGGGGUAAUGGCCUACCAAGGCGACGACGGGUAGCCGGCCUGAGAGGGCGACCGGCCACACUGGGACUGAGACACGGCCCAGACUCCUACGGGAGGCAGCAGUGGGGAAUAUUGCACAAUGGGCGAAAGCCUGAUGCAGCGACGCCGCGUGAGGGAUGACGGCCUUCGGGUUGUAAACCUCUUUCAGCAGGGAAGAAGCGCAGGUGACGGUACCUGCAAAAGAAGCACCGGCUAACUACGUGCCAGCAGCCGCGGUAAUACGUAGGGUGCGAGCGUUGUCCGGAAUUAUUGGGCGUAAAGAGCUCGUAGGCGGCUUGUCACGUCGGGUGUGAAAGCCCGGGGCUUAACCCCGGGUCUGCAUUCGAUACGGGCAGGCUUGAGUGUGGUAGGGGAGAUCGGGAAUUCCUGGUGUAGCGGUGAAAUGCGCAGAUAUCAGGAGGAACACCGGUGGCGAAGGCGGAUCUCUGGGCCAUUACUGACGCUGAGGAGCGAAAGCGGUGGGGGAGCGAACAGGAUUAGAUACCCUGGUAGUCCACGCCCGUAAACGUUUGGGAACUAGGUGUUGGCGACAUUCCACGUUCGUCGGUGCCCGCAGCUAACUCAUUAAGUUCCCCGCCUGGGUAGUACGGCCCGCAAGGCUAAAACUCAAAGGAAUUGCACGGGGCCCCGCACAGCAGCGGAGCCAUGGUGGCUGAGUUCGACGCCACG